RNAcentral lists this non-coding RNA (688 nucleotides) under Wolbachia endosymbiont of Armadillidium vulgare str. wVulC. The record is from RNAcentral. Lineage: Bacteria; Pseudomonadati; Pseudomonadota; Alphaproteobacteria; Rickettsiales; Anaplasmataceae.
UACCAAAAAUGGGAAUGGCUCGAGAAAUUGGUGUACAAAAGGUUACAAGAAGAAUUAGCAAAACUAGAAGUAAGCGUGAAUGAAGAAAAGACAAAAGUAAUCAACCUAAAGAAGGGAGGAACGUUCAACUUUCUAGGAUUCGACUUCCGAGAGAAAAUCACAAGACAAGGAAAGUGGAGUGUAUAAAUAACACCAACGAUGAAAGCACGGACAAAUUUGCUUCAGAGACUGAAGGAGGUAUUUCGUGGACAAAAAUCGCAACCGAUAGGGAAGGUGAUAAAAAUCAUCAAUCCAAUAUUGAGAGGGUGGACAAACUACUUUAGAAUUGGGAACUCAAGUCGAAGCUUCAACUACGUUAAACAAUGGGUAGAAAAGAAAACAAGACGCAACUUAAUGAGAUCCAGGAAAAUGCGAAAAGGAUUUGGCUGGAAGAGGUGGAGUAAGGAAUGGAUAGAUAAACUUGGUCUGUAUUCAGACUAUAGAAUACGAUACUAUGAACCGAAAGCACAACCAGUACAAUAUGUUAUAAACUUUGGUAAGAAUCUGCUAGGAAAGCGUAGUGCGGAUGCUGCGUUUGACGAGGCGGGAGCUGGAAACGUAAAUAUGGGAAUUUUGGAUUGAGGUCCUCAACGAAAGCGAUGGAAUAACCACCAAACCCUAAAGGAGGCGCGCCAGCUCUCGACCCUAC